This 561-nucleotide ribosomal RNA is filed under the name uncultured bacterium. RNAcentral's name for it is "partial 16S ribosomal RNA". It matches the Rfam family "Bacterial small subunit ribosomal RNA", at positions 355 to 937 of the family's 1533-position model. The record is from RNAcentral.
UGGGGAAUAUUGCACAAUGGGCGAAAGCCUGAUGCAGCAACGCCGCGUGAGUGAUGAAGGCCUUCGGGUUGUAAAGCUCUGUCUUUUGGGACGAUAAUGACGGUACCAAAGGAGGAAGCCACGGCUAACUACGUGCCAGCAGCCGCGGUAAUACGUAGGUGGCAAGCGUUGUCCGGAUUUACUGGGCGUAAAGGAUGCGUAGGCGGAUUUUUAAGUGAGAUGUGAAAACCCUAAGCUUAACUUGGGGACUGCACUUCAUACUGGAAAUCUAGAGUGCGGGAGAGGAGAAUGGAAUUCCUAGUGUAGCGGUGAAAUGCGUAGAGAUUAGGAAGAACACCAGUGGCGAAGGCGAUCCUCUGGACCGUAACUGACGCUGAGGCAUGAAAGCGUGGGUAGCAAACAGGAUUAGAUACCCUGGUAGUCCACGCCGUAAACGAUGAGUACUAGGUGUAGGAGGUAUCGACCCCUUCUGUGCCGCAGUUAACACAAUAAGUACUCCGCCUGGGAAGUACGAUCGCAAGAUUAAAACUUAAAGGAAUUGACGGGGUCAUAGCUGUUUCC